RNAcentral lists this ribosomal RNA (465 nucleotides) under Vreelandella stevensii. RNAcentral describes it as "partial 16S ribosomal RNA". It matches the Rfam family "Bacterial small subunit ribosomal RNA", at positions 338 to 795 of the family's 1533-position model. The record is from RNAcentral. Lineage: Bacteria; Pseudomonadati; Pseudomonadota; Gammaproteobacteria; Oceanospirillales; Halomonadaceae.
CCUACGGGGUGCUGCAGUGGGGAAUAUUGGACAAUGGGCGAAAGCCUGAUCCAGCCAUGCCGCGUGUGUGAAGAAGGCCUUCGGGUUGUAAAGCACUUUCAGUGGGGAAGAAAGCCUUGGGGCUAAUACCCUCGAGGAAGGACAUCACCCACAGAAGAAGCACCGGCUAACUCCGUGCCAGCAGCCGCGGUAAUACGGAGGGUGCGAGCGUUAAUCGGAAUUACUGGGCGUAAAGCGCGCGUAGGCGGUCUGAUAAGCCGGUUGUGAAAGCCCCGGGCUCAACCUGGGAACGGCAUCCGGAACUGUCAGGCUAGAGUGCAGGAGAGGAAGGUAGAAUUCCUGGUGUAGCGGUGAAAUGCGUAGAGAUCGGGAGGAAUACCAGUGGCGAAGGCGGCCUUCUGGACUGACACUGACGCUGAGGUGCGAAAGCGUGGGUAGCAAACAGGAUUAGAUACCCCAGUAGUC